Long non-coding RNA from Thalassophryne amazonica, 403 nucleotides. RefSeq lists it as uncharacterized. The record is from RefSeq and is a predicted model, not a curated record. NCBI's taxonomy places the organism in Eukaryota, Metazoa, Chordata, Actinopteri, Batrachoidiformes, Batrachoididae. The transcript is spliced from 3 exons.
CUGGGAACACCCUCUUCCUCUGACCUUGCCUGAGCAGUCAACCAGCUGAGGACCAACUGCUGUGUGAUGAUCGGCUUCCAGGGAUGACUUGAUUUGAAAGUCUACAUUCCUGCUGUGCUCUGGGUGCUGCAGACAGCAGCUGGAGGUUGAAGUAAAGGAGCCGGUUAUAAAGAUUAAACCACCCUUCAAGAUGACAGCUCAGCAAAGAAGAUGCUCUGAAAACCUGACCAAUCGCCCGACUUCAAAUCCUUGUGGAAGGAACCAUUCAGAGACUGAAGGAGUGUUGCAACUGGGAACACGCUCUUCCUCUGACCAUGUUUGGGAACACGCUCUUCCUCUGACCAUGUCUGGGAAUGCGCUUUUCUUCUGACCUUGCCUGGGAACGCGGUCUUCCUCUGACCAU